This 628-nucleotide ribosomal RNA is filed under the name uncultured fungus. Its description in RNAcentral is "eukaryotic LSU rRNA". It matches the Rfam family "Eukaryotic large subunit ribosomal RNA", at positions 24 to 664 of the family's 3401-position model. The record is from RNAcentral. Lineage: Eukaryota; Fungi.
CCCGCUGAACUUAAGCAUAUCAAUAAGCGGAGGAAAAGAAACCAACAGGGAUUGCCCUAGUAACGGCGAGUGAAGCGGCAAAAGCUCAGAUUUGAAAUCUGGCAUCGUUUUGAUGCCCGAGUUGUAGUCUGCAGAGGUGUAUUCGAGUGUGGCUUUGGCUUAAGUUCCUUGGAACAGGGCGUCAUAGAGGGUGAGAACCCCGUUAACGGCCUUUGCUCUAUGCUCAUGUGAAUCUCCUUCAACGAGUCGAGUUGUUUGGGAAUGCAGCUCUAAAUGGGUGGUAAAUUCCAUCUAAAGCUAAAUACUGGCAAGAGACCGAUAGCGCACAAGUAGAGUGAUCGAAAGAUGAAAAGAACUCUGAACAGAGAGUUAAAUAGUACGUGAAAUUGUUGAAAGGGAAGCACUUCCGACCAGACGCACUUGCAGCCGAUCAAUCUUCAUUCUUGAGGGUGCACUCGGUUGUCUGUGGGUCAGCAUCAGUCAUAGUGGUAGGAAAAAGACUGAGGGAAUGUGACUCCUCUCGGGGAGUGUUAUAGCCCUUGGUGCAAUGCUGCCUGGUGUGACUGAGGACCGCGCUUCGGCGAGGAUGUUGGCAUAAUGGUCGUAAGUGACCCGUCUUGAAACACGG